RNAcentral lists this unclassified non-coding RNA (264 nucleotides) under Hevea brasiliensis (rubber tree). Lineage: Eukaryota; Viridiplantae; Streptophyta; Magnoliopsida; Malpighiales; Euphorbiaceae. The record is from RNAcentral.
CUUAUAAAAACUUGGUGAUAGCUCUAACAGUUGGAAAAAAGGCUUUGAAGGUGGAGGAGGUUACUGCAGUUAUCUUGUAUGAUGAGAAGUUCAAGAAGACAAGUAGCAACAAUGAAGAUGGAGCUUUUGUUGCUAGUUCUAGUCAUGGUAGAAGCAAUCCACGUGGAAACAAUUGGAAAAAGAAUAGUAGACCAAGCUCGAAACCACAAGUAGAUCGAGCUCAAAACCACAAUUAGGCCUUGAAGAUAGAGAAUGCUACUACUG